Molecule: non-coding RNA, 118 nt
Organism: Podarcis lilfordi (Lilford's wall lizard)
Lineage: Eukaryota; Metazoa; Chordata; Lepidosauria; Squamata; Lacertidae
Source: the annotation of a GenBank genome assembly
GGAAAUAAGAUACAUCCUUCUCUCUCUCUCUCUCUCUCUCUCUCUCUCUCUCUCACACACACACACACACACAGAGAGAGAGAGAUAGAGAGAGGGGGGGGAGAGAUGCUAUGAUAUG